UCCCUCCUCACCAAUUUGAAAAGGAGCUCGGUGAACAGACUGGGCAAAGCAAGAGCCCUCUUUCUACGUGCCUUAGGGUGGUGAUGGGGCAGCCAAAGACCAAGCGCUUCAGCUGAGGGAUACAGAUUAGAGAUGAGGACCUAACUCCAAAGAGUAACUCUUUGCUGAAGUGACUUCACAGAGGGAAGUAAGCAGUAAUUCAAUGCAGCCUUAGGUAGAGAGCUUCUCUAUGAAUAAUGGGAAAUAAAGUUAAAGAAAAUGAUGCAAAUAACGCAAGAAAAAAAUACCGAUGAUCAGAAAAAAGAAAAGUAUUUGAGAUCUGAAAGAUCCUCAAAAUAGAGAAGAGCCAACGAGUUCAUACACUGAAUCAGCUAAAUCCUGUCUCACAUUUUCACUGUAGCCAGAAGAGCCACUCUGGUCAAGUAGAAACCCAGAAGUUUGCCGUCAUUUCAUCCAGGGUCUGCAGUUCUUUUUAGAAUAAAAUGAAGAUUCCUGUAAGAUAAUAAAAAGUUCACUGGUCCUGCUUUUGAAGGCUCUUAAGGAAAAAAUCAUUUAAAUAAACUUUGUUGUGAGGACAAGGAGGUAGGCAAAAGUCAUCUUUUUACUACUUUGCCUCAAUCUCAGUAAUAUUUACAUUAUUUUCAUAUAAUCUAAUUUGUGUAUAGGUCAAGUUUUUUUCUGUUUUGUAGUGUUAUAUUGUCUUUGUGUCUGGUUUAGAUCUUAAAGGUUGUGCUAAGUAUCUCAUGAGCUAUAAUAGUUUCAGUCUGCUUACCAUAGUCACUGUAGUUCAUUUCUGCCUAGCUUUUCAAGUAUCCUCCAUUAACUGCGAGGAUAGUCCAUUUCACAAUCAAGUCAACUUAUAUCUGUCUGGAUUACACUCUAAGGUUUCCUGACCCUUUCUGAGUCACCACUUAUUACUUAAAUCUUAAACUUCAUUUCUGUGCUUGACAGCAAUGCCAUUGUUUUGCUUAUUUUCUGAUUGGAAGGCUGGCAGUCUCUUCUGAGACUGAUGCCAACAGAGCUCUGUGUAUCAGCCAGUAGGAGUCACUUGGAGCAGAUGGUCAUCAUCCUUCCCCACAGCCCAAAUCCCUGGUCUGGGUGGCAAAGUCCCAAGACCACACCUACAUACAUGCCAACUGUCCUUAUUUACUAAGAUACUCCUUAUUUGUUUAGCUUAAUAAAUCAUUUGCCCUAAUAUCUUUCUAAUGAACUUAUGUUCUCAUUUCAAUUUUCUUUAAUAUAUCUUCUUAUUAGCAUCUCUCCCCUCUGUCCCUAUCCUUUAUUGCCCAUACUAUUAGAAUGUACAUUUUUAAAUUCAAAUCUUUUUUUUGGUUUCAUAAAUGUUCAUCUUUACAGAGAUUUUAUAUACUUACUGGUAUAUAUGUAAUAAAUAGAAAUUCUAUUCUGGUGAAAAAAGUAUAUUGACUCCUUC
This is a non-coding RNA of Macaca mulatta (Rhesus monkey), 1432 nucleotides long. NCBI's taxonomy places the organism in Eukaryota, Metazoa, Chordata, Mammalia, Primates, Cercopithecidae. The record is from RefSeq and is a predicted model, not a curated record.